This 328-nucleotide ribosomal RNA is filed under the name uncultured bacterium. RNAcentral describes it as "bacterial SSU rRNA". It matches the Rfam family "Bacterial small subunit ribosomal RNA", at positions 568 to 898 of the family's 1533-position model. The record is from RNAcentral.
CGCGUAGGUGGUAGUGCAAGUCUGGGGUGGAAUCUUAGGGCUUAACCCUAAAACUGCCUUGGAAACUGCAUUACUUGAGUCAGUGAGGGGAGGGUAGAAUUCCUGGUGUAGCGGUGAAAUGCGUAGAUAUCAGGAGGAAGGCCUGUGGCGAAGGCGGCCCUCUGGCGCUGAACUGACACUGAGGCGCGAAAGCGUGGGUAGCAAACAGGAUUAGAUACCCUGGUAGUCCACGCCCUAAACGGUGGGUACUAGGUGUAGGGCUCGUAAGGGUUCUGUGCCGAAGGGAACCAUUAAGUACCCCGCCUGGGGAUACGGCCGCAAGGUUGAA